AAAACUUAAUGAGAAGGUCUGGCUGCAGAAUGCUCUGGGGUCCAGUCCCUUGGCUGUAGGGAAUCUCCUAACACUGGUGAGCUGUGAGCAGAAGUGGCGAGAUGUCCUUCCAGGGACCAAGGCUCCGCAGCAGAGCCCUUGUCAUAUUCUGCAUUCCUCCUAAUCCCUGAGAUUCUGAUGCCAGCACCACUGGAGCAAUCUCUGUGUCCUUUUCCAAUCUGCAAAUGGAGUAGCUUAUUACCUGGGGAUGACUGACUCCUGCUGCUCAGAGAUUCUCUUGACUGCCAAGAGUUCCCACCACACUGACUGAAUGGACUUUGCUUGGAGUGACAGGCCCUGACUUCUAAGAUGAAGCAGGGCAGAACUGACAGGAACUAAGUGAGACAACAAUCAGCCUGUAUACUUAAUUAGUGCAAUUUCCCUCGAGUGGCUUGCUGCUUUUAGGCAUAGAUAUAAUCUGCUGUGCAUGACACCCAUAUCAUUGACAUUUGGAAUAAAAGGAGCUCUCACCAUUCUGUUUUGAAGCAGAUGGCACAGUCUUGGGUGCUACAAGAACUUGCAAAACUACUGGACUAAGACAAGGAAGAUGAAGAUUGGUGCUCAUUAGAAAGCCUCAUCUAACAGUGACUGCAAGUGCUCCUCAUUAA
Serinus canaria (Common canary) is the source of this 647-nucleotide long non-coding RNA. RefSeq lists it as uncharacterized. The transcript is spliced from 4 exons. Lineage: Eukaryota; Metazoa; Chordata; Aves; Passeriformes; Fringillidae. The record is from RefSeq and is a predicted model, not a curated record.